RNAcentral lists this ribosomal RNA (107 nucleotides) under Klebsiella pneumoniae. The record is from RNAcentral. Lineage: Bacteria; Pseudomonadati; Pseudomonadota; Gammaproteobacteria; Enterobacterales; Enterobacteriaceae.
ACUAGCGCGGUGGUCCCACCUGACCCCAUGCCGAACUCAGAAGUGAAACGCCGUAGCGCCGAUGGUAGUGUGGAGUGUCCCCAUGUGAGUGUAGGGAACUGCCAGGC